CGUGGGUAACCUGCCCAAGAGAUCGGGAUAACACCUGGAAACAGAUGCUAAUACCGGAUAACAACAGAUGAUGCCUAUCAACUGUUUAAAAGAUGGUUCUGCUAUCACUCUUGGAUGGACCUGCGGUGCAUUAGUUAGUUGGUAGGGUAACGGCCUACCAAGGCGAUGAUGCAUAGCCGAGUUGAGAGACUGAUCGGCCACAUUGGGACUGAGACACGGCCCAAACUCCUACGGGAGGCAGCAGAG
RNAcentral lists this ribosomal RNA (246 nucleotides) under uncultured Lactobacillus sp. RNAcentral describes it as "partial 16S ribosomal RNA". It matches the Rfam family "Bacterial small subunit ribosomal RNA", at positions 116 to 354 of the family's 1533-position model. The record is from RNAcentral. Lineage: Bacteria; Bacillati; Bacillota; Bacilli; Lactobacillales; Lactobacillaceae.